This 454-nucleotide ribosomal RNA is filed under the name uncultured Cytophaga sp. RNAcentral describes it as "partial 16S ribosomal RNA". It matches the Rfam family "Bacterial small subunit ribosomal RNA", at positions 341 to 792 of the family's 1533-position model. Lineage: Bacteria; Pseudomonadati; Bacteroidota; Cytophagia; Cytophagales; Cytophagaceae. The record is from RNAcentral.
ACGGAAGGCAGCAGUGAGGAAUAUUGGUCAAUGGGCGAGAGCCUGAACCAGCCAUGUCGCGUGCAGGAAUACGGCCCUACGGGUUUUAAACUGCUUUUGCCUGGGGAUAAAGUGGCGGACGAGUCCGCUAUUGCAGGUACCAGGCGAAUAAGGAUCGGCUAACUCCGUGCCAGCAGCCGCGGUAAUACGGAGGAUCCGAGCGUUAUCCGGAUUUAUUGGGUUUAAAGGGUGCGCAGGCGGCACGUUAAGUCAGCGGUGAAAUGCAGGGGCUCAACCCCGGCACUGCCGUUGAAACUGGCGAGCUCGAGUACGGAUGAAGUCGGCGGAAUGUGAUGUGUAGCGGUGAAAUGCUUAGAUAUGUCACAGAACACCGAUUGCGAAGGCAGCUGACUAAUCCGCAACUGACGCUCAGGCACGAAAGCGUGGGGAUCGAACAGGAUUAGAUACCCUGGUA